GCCCUGGUGGCACAAUGGUUAAGCAGUUGGCUGCUAACCAAAAGGCUGGUGGUUGAAUCCACCCAGGGGCU
RNAcentral lists this transfer RNA (71 nucleotides) under Loxodonta africana (African savanna elephant). It matches the Rfam family "tRNA". From Rfam's summary of the family: Transfer RNA (tRNA) molecules are approximately 80 nucleotides in length. Their secondary structure includes four short double-helical elements and three loops (D, anti-codon, and T loops). Lineage: Eukaryota; Metazoa; Chordata; Mammalia; Proboscidea; Elephantidae. The record is from Rfam by way of RNAcentral.